GGGAGGGGCGGCAUGCUUACCAUGCAAGUCGAACGGGGAUGCCAUUUUCGAGGCGGUUAGUUUACUAAGCGCCAAGAUGCUGGCAUCUUAGUGGCGGACGGGUGAGUAACGCGUGGGUAACCUGCCUUAUACAGGGGGAUAACACUUAGAAAUAGGUGCUAAUACCGCAUAAGCGCACGGGGCUGCAUGGCCCAGUGUGAAAAACUCCGGUGGUAUAAGAUGGACCCGCGUCUGAUUAGCUUGUUGGCGGGGUAACGGCCCACCAAGGCGACGAUCAGUAGCCGGCCUGAGAGGGUGGACGGCCACAUUGGGACUGAGACACGGCCCAAACUCCUACGGGAGGCAGCAGUGGGGAAUAUUGGACAAUGGGGGGAACCCUGAUCCAGCGACGCCGCGUGAGUGAAGAAGUAUUUCGGUAUGUAAAGCUCUAUCAGUAGGGAAGAAAGAAAUGACGGUACCUGACUAAGAAGCCCCGGCUAACUACGUGCCAGCAGCCGCGGUAAUACGUAGGGGGCAAGCGUUAUCCGGAUUUACUGGGUGUAAAGGGAGCGUAGACGGUUAUGCAAGUCUGGAGUGAAAGGCGGGGCCCAACCCCCGGACUGCUUUGGAAACUGUGUAACUGGAGUGCAGGAGAGGUAAGUGGAAUUCCUAGUGUAGCGGUGAAAUGCGUAGAUAUUAGGAGGAACACCAGUGGCGAAGG
This 700-nucleotide ribosomal RNA is filed under the name uncultured bacterium. Its description in RNAcentral is "bacterial SSU rRNA". It matches the Rfam family "Bacterial small subunit ribosomal RNA", at positions 30 to 721 of the family's 1533-position model. The record is from RNAcentral.